Molecule: ribosomal RNA, 254 nt
Filed under: uncultured bacterium
Lineage: Bacteria
Description: partial 16S ribosomal RNA
Rfam family: Bacterial small subunit ribosomal RNA
Source: RNAcentral
UACGUAGGGGGCAAGCGUUAUCCGGAUUUACUGGGUGUAAAGGGAGCGUAGGUGGCAAGGCAAGCCAGAAGUGAAACCCCGGGGCUUAACCCCGCGGAUUGCUUUUGGAACUGUCUGGCUGGAGUGCAGGAGGGGCAGGCGGAAUUCCUGGUGUAGCGGUGAAAUGCGUAGAUAUCAGGAGGAACACCGGUGGCGAAGGCGGCCUGCUGGACUGUAACUGACACUGAGGCUCGAAAGCGUGGGGAGCAAACAGG